Molecule: ribosomal RNA, 484 nt
Filed under: uncultured bacterium
Lineage: Bacteria
Description: partial 16S ribosomal RNA
Rfam family: Bacterial small subunit ribosomal RNA
Source: RNAcentral
AUUGAACGCUGGCGGCAGGCCUAACACAUGCAAGUCGAGCGGUAACAGAAAGAAGCUUGCUUCUUUGCUGACGAGCGGCGGACGGGUGGGUAAUGCUUGGGAACAUGCCUUGAGGUGGGGGACAACAGUUGGAAACGACUGCUAAUACCGCAUAAUGUCUACGGACCAAAGGGGGCUUCGGCUCUCGCCUUUAGAUUGGCCCAAGUGGGAUUAGCUAGUUGGUGAGGUAAUGGCUCACCAAGGCGACGAUCCCUAGCUGGUUUGAGAGGAUGAUCAGCCACACUGGGACUGAGACACGGCCCAGACUCCUACGGGAGGCAGCAGUGGGGAAUAUUGCACAAUGGGCGCAAGCCUGAUGCAGCCAUGCCGCGUGUGUGAAGAAGGCCUUCGGGUUGUAAAGCACUUUCAGUCAGGAGGAAAGGUUAGUAGUUAAUACCUGCUAGCUGUGACGUUACUGACAGAAGAAGCACCGGCUAACUCCGUG